Molecule: ribosomal RNA, 450 nt
Filed under: uncultured bacterium
Lineage: Bacteria
Description: partial 16S ribosomal RNA
Rfam family: Bacterial small subunit ribosomal RNA
Source: RNAcentral
GUGGGGAAUAUUGGACAAUGGGCGAAAGCCUGAUCCAGCCAUGCCGCGUGUGUGAAGAAGGUCUUCGGAUUGUAAAGCACUUUAAGUUGGGAGGAAGGGCAGUAAGUUAAUACCUUGCUGUUUUGACGUUACCGACAGAAUAAGCACCGGCUAACUUCGUGCCAGCAGCCGCGGUAAUACGAAGGGUGCAAGCGUUAAUCGGAAUUACUGGGCGUAAAGCGCGCGUAGGUGGUUCAGUAAGUUGGAUGUGAAAUCCCCGGGCUCAACCUGGGAACUGCAUCCAAAACUGCUGAGCUAGAGUACGGUAGAGGGUGGUGGAAUUUCCUGUGUAGCGGUGAAAUGCGUAGAUAUAGGAAGGAACACCAGUGGCGAAGGCGACUACCUGGACUGAUACUGACACUGAGGUGCGAAAGCGUGGGGAGCAAACAGGAUUAGAAACCCGAGUAGUCC